AGUGAACGCUGGCGGUAGGCCUAACACAUGCCAGUCGAACGGCAGCACAGUAAGAGCUUGCUCUUACGGGUGGCGAGUGGCGUACGGGUGAGGAAUACAUCGGAAUCUACUUUUUCGUGGGGGAUAACGUAGGGAAACUUACGCUAAUACCGCAUACGACCUACGGGUGCAAGCAGGGGAUCUUCGGACCUUUCGCGAUUGAAUGAGCCGAUGUCGGAUUAGCUAGUUGGCGGGGUAAAGGCCCACCAAGGCGACGAUCCGUAGCUGGUCUGAGAGGAUGAUCAGCCACACUGGAACUGAGACACGGUCCAGACUCCUACGGGAGGCAGCAGCGGGGAAUAUUGGACAAUGGGCGCGAGCCUGAUCCAGCCAUACCGCGUGGGUGAAGAAGGCCUUCGGGUUGUAAAGCCCUUUUGUUGGGAAAGAAAAGCAGCAGGUUAAUACCCCGCUGUUCUGACGGUACCCAAAGAAUAAGCACCGGCUAACUUCGUG
This 492-nucleotide ribosomal RNA is filed under the name uncultured bacterium. RNAcentral's name for it is "partial 16S ribosomal RNA". It matches the Rfam family "Bacterial small subunit ribosomal RNA", at positions 29 to 507 of the family's 1533-position model. The record is from RNAcentral.